This is a long non-coding RNA of Mauremys reevesii (Reeves's turtle), 191 nucleotides long. RefSeq lists it as uncharacterized. Lineage: Eukaryota; Metazoa; Chordata; Testudines; Geoemydidae. The record is from RefSeq and is a predicted model, not a curated record. The transcript has 3 exons.
CCGCUGCGGGGGGAGGCUCCGGGCGCGCGGCAGAGCCGGCUAUAGAUUGACGUCCACGUUGUGCUACAGAUUAACGUCCACGUUUUGCUCCAGAUCAUUUCAUCCUCCCAGGGGGAAGGAAAUGGCUGCAAUGGAGCUGGCUCAGGAGUUGGUGACUUUCGAGGAGGUGGCUGUGUAUUUCACCAAGGGGG